RNAcentral lists this ribosomal RNA (253 nucleotides) under uncultured bacterium. RNAcentral's name for it is "partial 16S ribosomal RNA". It matches the Rfam family "Archaeal small subunit ribosomal RNA", at positions 474 to 727 of the family's 1478-position model. The record is from RNAcentral.
UACCAGCACCCCGAGUGGUCGGGACGUUUAUUGGGCCUAAAGCAUCCGUAGCCGGUUCUACAAGUCUUCCGUUAAAUCCAGCUGCUUAACAGAUGGGCUGCGGAAGAUACUAUGGAGCUAGGAGGCGGGAGAGGCAAGCGGUACUCGAUGGGUAGGGGUAAAAUCCGUUGAUCCAUUGAAGACCGCCAGUGGCGAAGGCGGCUUGCCAGAACGCGCUCGACGGUGAGGGAUGAAAGCUGGGGGAGCGAACAGG